This 265-nucleotide ribosomal RNA is filed under the name uncultured prokaryote. RNAcentral's name for it is "partial 16S ribosomal RNA". It matches the Rfam family "Bacterial small subunit ribosomal RNA", at positions 524 to 788 of the family's 1533-position model. The record is from RNAcentral.
UACGUAGGUGGCGAGCGUUGUCCGGAUUUACUGGGCGUAAAGGGAGCGUAGGCGGACUUUUAAGUGAGAUGUGAAAUACCCGGGCUCAACUUGGGUGCUGCAUUUCAAACUGGAGGUCUAGAGUGCAGGAGAGGAGAAUGGAAUUCCUAGUGUAGCGGUGAAAUGCGUAGAGAUUAGGAAGAACACCAGUGGCGAAGGCGAUUCUCUGGACUGUAACUGACACUGAGGCUCGAAAGCGUGGGGAGCAAACAGGAUUAGAUACCCU